GCCUAAUUAAAGGAGUUACAAGGAGAAGAAUUGAUUAAUGUUGGAUCAUAUGUAAGGAUCACAAGUGUUCGGUAAAUUUGGUUUUGUUUCAAGAUAUCAUCCCACUUGGAGAAUAUCAAUGGAGGUAUAUGUCAUGGCUUAUACUCAUAGAUGGAGAGUUGUGCUUAUGAGGAUCAGAUGACACCAAAGUCUACAAAGUUAUAUGUGGGAUG
This 212-nucleotide long non-coding RNA is filed under the name Sorghum bicolor (sorghum). RNAcentral describes it as "long non-coding RNA (SBIC_LNC004467)". The record is from RNAcentral. Lineage: Eukaryota; Viridiplantae; Streptophyta; Magnoliopsida; Poales; Poaceae.